GCCACAUUAGUUAGUUGGUAGAGUAAAAGCCUACCAAGACGAUGAUGUGUAGCUGGACUGAGAGGUUGAACAGCCACAUUGGGACUGAGACACGGCCCAAACUCCUACGGGAGGCAGCAGUAGGGAAUUUUCGGCAAUGGAGGAAACUCUGACCGAGCAACGCCGCGUGAACGAUGAAGUAUUUCGGUAUGUAAAGUUCUUUUAUUGAGGAAGAAAAAGUAGUGGAAAAACUAUAUUGACGUUAUUCAAUGAAUAAGCCCCGGCUAACUAUGUGCCAUCAGCCGCGGUAAGACAUAGGGGGCGAGCGUUAUCCGGAAUUAUUGGCCGUCAAAGGUGCUUAGCCUGUUACCUUUGUGUUUAAUUUAAUUUCUUUGAUGAACGCUGUCUUCUGCUAGAAACUGUCUCGAGUACGGUGUGAUAUUGGCAAGCGGAAUUCCAUGUGUAGCGGUAAAAUGUGUAAAUAUAUGGAGGAACACCAGAAGCGUAGGCGGCUUGCUGGGUCUUUACUGACGCUGAGGCACGAAAGCGUGGGUAGCAAACAGGAUUAGAUACCCUGGUAGUCCACGCCGUAAACGAUGAGUACUAAGUGUCGGGGUAAAACUCGGUACUGAAGUUAACACAUUAAGUAAUCCGCCUGAGUAGUACGUACGCAAGUAAGAAACUUAAAGGAAUUGACGGGACUCCGCACAAGCGGUGGAUCAUGUUGUUUAAUUCGAAGAUACACGAAAAAUCUUACCAGGUCUUGACAUACUCUGCAAAGCUAUAGAAAUAUAGUGGAGGUUAUCAGGGAUACAGGUGGUGCAUGGUUGUCGUCAGUUCGUGUCGUGAGAUGUUAGGUUAAGUCCUAAAACGAACGCAACCCUUGUCGUUAAUUGCCAGCACAUAAUGGUGGGGACUUUAACGAGACUGCCAAUUAAACAUUGGAGGAAGGUGAGGAUUACGUCAAAUCAUCAUGCCCCUUAUGAUCUGGGCUACAAACGUGAUACAAUGGCUGUGACAAAGAGUAGCUGAAACGCGAGUUUUUAGCCAAUCUCAAAAAAGCAGUCUCAGUUCGGAUUGAAGUCUGUAACUCGACUUCAUGAAGUUUGAAUCGCUAGUAA
RNAcentral lists this ribosomal RNA (1100 nucleotides) under Candidatus Phytoplasma trifolii. RNAcentral's name for it is "bacterial SSU rRNA". It matches the Rfam family "Bacterial small subunit ribosomal RNA", at positions 235 to 1341 of the family's 1533-position model. Lineage: Bacteria; Bacillati; Mycoplasmatota; Mollicutes; Acholeplasmatales; Acholeplasmataceae. The record is from RNAcentral.